This 735-nucleotide ribosomal RNA is filed under the name uncultured soil bacterium. Its description in RNAcentral is "bacterial SSU rRNA". It matches the Rfam family "Bacterial small subunit ribosomal RNA", at positions 31 to 744 of the family's 1533-position model. The record is from RNAcentral.
CAACGCUGGCGGCGUGCCUCAGACAUGCAAGUCGAACGCGAAAGUCCCCUUCGGGGGGCAAGUAGAGUGGCGCACGGGUGAGUAACACGUAGGUAAUCUACCUUUGGAUGGGGAAUAACAACCGGAAACGGUUGCUAAUACCGCAUAAUGCAGCGGCACCUAAUGGUGACAGUUGUUAAAGCGGGGGAUCGAAAGACCUCGCGUCUAAAGAGGAGCCUGCGGCGGAUUAGCUAGUUGGUAAGGUAACGGCUUACCAAGGCUACGAUCCGUAGCCGGCCUGAGAGGGCGGUCGGCCACACUGACACUGACAUACGGGUCAGACUCCUACGGGAGGCAGCAGUCGGGAAUUUUGGGCAAUGGGCGAAAGCCUGACCCAGCAACGCCGCGUGAAGGAUGAAAUCCCUCGGGAUGUAAACUUCGCAAGAACGGGAAGAAUAAGUAGGGGACAAUACCCCCUAUGAUGACGGUACCGUUUGUAAGCUCCGGCUAACUCCGUGCCAGCAGCCGCGGUAAUACGGGGGGAGCAAGCGUUGUUCGGAUUUACUGGGCGUAAAGGGCGCGUAGGCGGCCAGCACAAGUCAGUUGUGAAAUCUCCGAGCUUAACUCGGAAAGGUCAACUGAUACUGUGCGGCUAGAGUGCAGAAGGGGCAACUGGAAUUCUUGGUGUAGCGGUGAAAUGCGUAGAUAUCAAGAGGAACACCUGCGGCGAAGGCGGGUCGCUGGGCUGACACUGAC